Long non-coding RNA from Pundamilia nyererei, 934 nucleotides. RefSeq lists it as uncharacterized. The transcript is spliced from 2 exons. The record is from RefSeq and is a predicted model, not a curated record. NCBI's taxonomy places the organism in Eukaryota, Metazoa, Chordata, Actinopteri, Cichliformes, Cichlidae.
GUUAGACUUUCCAGCGUGAUGACGCUUCCAUUGCAGUGAGGCUCAGGUGUAUAACGGGAACCGGGGAUGCUGGAGCUACUAACAAACGCUUACAAAACUACUAUUAUCGCAUUCGUGCAUUUUUCUGCAUUUUAAUAUAACGUAAAGCAUUUCGCUUCCGGUGUAGGGGAGGCGAAAAUGAGGACGCAAAUGUUCAAGUGCUGCAUGCGGAGCCCGCCGUUUCCUUUGAUGCCCGAGGGUAACGCCUCCAAAAAGAAAUACACCUAUCAGUGAUGGUUAUGGAGCAUGAUGGACGUCCCCUCAGUCAAUCAGAGCCAGACACCCUGCCAGCCGUGGGCGGGUCAGAAGGACUGGUCCACAGCUUCACCUCCAAGACACCUCUUUGACCCUCUGCCCAGCUUUCAGCAUCUCAACCUGAGGUCUCCUUCUGAUUACACUCCCUGCUACAACCACCUCCAGAUGUCCAGCUCCAGCUUCCAGAGAGACUUCACUGCAUUUUCACCCAAUAACAACAAUCCUCAUAACAGCUUGUUACAUGUUAAUAACACUGACCACAGUGUGCAGCCAGUCAUUCCUGAUGUUUCAGCCACGAUUCCAGCUGCAAACCAAGGAAGUAACAUGAAUGAAGACAUUCAUCCUUGUGACACCCAAUGGACAUCACUUCAUUCCCCUCACAACCCUUACCAAGCUGUAGCUCAACAUUUCCAGCAUCCCUACACACAGCAGGAUUUAGUAAAUGGACCUCCGUCACCACAUCAAAAUCAUUUGCCCAUUAGGCCUCCAUUAUAUGGAAACGAGAGUCCACAGUGUAUACCUCAGCCUGGAUUUGAGGGAGCAAAUGCCAGAUCAUCUGCAGUAUUUACUCACAAUCAUGCCUCGCCCACCUCUCCCAUCCAACAGCAGCCUCAGUGGACACUUCCAGCACACUCUGGAG